Non-coding RNA from Gossypium hirsutum (cotton), 106 nucleotides. Lineage: Eukaryota; Viridiplantae; Streptophyta; Magnoliopsida; Malvales; Malvaceae. The record is from Rfam.
AUCCCAUGAUGGGGACACUUACGAAGUAGUUCCUUGAAUCUUUCCCAAGCGUCAUACAAAGACUCAUCAUCCAAUUGUUAAUAAGUUGUUAUCUCAUUAUGCAACU